RNAcentral lists this ribosomal RNA (468 nucleotides) under uncultured bacterium. Its description in RNAcentral is "partial 16S ribosomal RNA". It matches the Rfam family "Bacterial small subunit ribosomal RNA", at positions 28 to 507 of the family's 1533-position model. The record is from RNAcentral.
GACGAACGCUGGCGGCGUGCUUAACACAUGCAAGUCGAACGGAAAGGCCCUGCUUUUGUGGGGUGCUCGAGUGGCGAACGGGUGUGUAACACGUGAGUAACCUGCCCUUGACUUUGGGAUAACUUCAGGAAACUGGGGCUAAUACCGGAUAGGAGCUCCUGCUGCAUGGUGGGGGUUGGAAAGUUUCGGCGGUUGGGGAUGGUCUCGCGGCUUAUCAGCUUGUUGGUGGGGUAGUGGCUUACCAAGGCUUUGACUGGUAGCCGGCCUGAGAGGGUGACCGGCCACAUUGGGACUGAGGUACGGCGCAGUCUCCUACGGGAGGCAGCAGUGGGGAAUAUUGCACAGUGGGCGGAAGCCUGAUGCAGCAACGCCGCGUGCGGGAUGACGGCCUACGGGUUGUAAACCGAUUUCGCCUGUGACGAAGCGUGAGUGACGGUAAUGGGUAAAGAAGCACCGGCUAACUACGUG